Molecule: ribosomal RNA, 1194 nt
Filed under: Dacrymyces sp. INBio_4503P
Lineage: Eukaryota; Fungi; Basidiomycota; Dacrymycetes; Dacrymycetales; Dacrymycetaceae
Also listed under: 1 other name
Description: eukaryotic LSU rRNA
Rfam family: Eukaryotic large subunit ribosomal RNA (bases 319-1194)
Source: RNAcentral
AUAACUUUCAACAACGGAUCUCUUGGCUCUCGCAUCGAUGAAGAACGCAGCGAAAUGCGAUAAGUAAUGUGAAUUGCAGAAUAGUGAAUCAUCGAACUUUUGAACGCACCUUGUGCCUUUUUGGCAUGCUACUUUGAGCGCCACCUACCCGUGGCCCCCGAAAAGGGGCCGAGUUGAGUGUUGCCGGCUGUCAAGGUCGGCUCGCUCUGAAUGCAUUGCGCGGCCAGUGAGCUAGACGUCGAUCGUGAUAACUCAUCGAGCGACGUUCGAUUCAUUUGGUCGCUUCUAAUCGUCCGCAAGGACAAUCCACGAAGCGCUAGGCAUCAAAGUAGUAGGACUACCCGCUGAACUUAAGCAUAUCAAUAAGCGGAGGAAAAGAAACUAACAAGGAUUCCCCUAGUAACUGCGAGUGAAGCGGGAAAAGCUCAAAUUUGAAAUCCUUCGGGAGUUGUAAUCUGUAGAAGUGUUUUCGGCCGCAGCCUCGGACAAGUCCCUUGGAACAGGGCGUCAUAGAGGGUGAGAAUCCCGUGCUUGCCGAGCUCCCUGCGUCUAUGUGAUACACUUUCAAAGAGUCGAGUUGUUUGGGAAUGCAGCUCAAAACGGGUGGUAAACUCCAUCUAAAGCUAAAUAUUGGCGAGAGACCGAUAGCGAACAAGUACCGUGAGGGAAAGAUGAAAAGCACUUUGGAAAGAGAGUUAAACAGUACGUGAAAUUGUUGAAAGGGAAGCGCUUGAAGUCAGUCGCGUUUGCAGAGACUCAGCCUCACGGCGCAUUUCUUUGUGAACGGGCCAACAUCAGUUUUGGCCGCGGGAAAAGGACCUGGGGAAUGUGGCAACCUCGGUUGUGUUAUAGCCUCUUGUCGUACACCGCGGCCGGGACUGAGGACUGCUGUUUUACAGGAUGUUGGCGUAAUGGCUUUAAGCGACCCGUCUUGAAACACGGACCAAGGAGUCUAACAUGUCUGCGAGUGUUCGGGUGUCAAACCCGUGCGCGUAAUGAAAGUGAAUGCAGGUGGGAGGCCUCGGCCGCACCAUCGACCGAUCCAGAUCUUUAGUGACGGAUUUGAGUAAGAGCAUAUAUGUUGGGACCCGAAAGAUGGUGAACUAUGCCUGAAUAGGGUGAAGCCAGAGGAAACUCUGGUGGAGGCUCGUAGCGAUUCUGACGUGCAAAUCGAUCGUCAAAUUUGGGUAUAGG